RNAcentral lists this unclassified non-coding RNA (1711 nucleotides) under Hevea brasiliensis (rubber tree). The record is from RNAcentral. Lineage: Eukaryota; Viridiplantae; Streptophyta; Magnoliopsida; Malpighiales; Euphorbiaceae.
GGCUUAAUUUGGGGCUUAAUACUUUUUAUUUCGCUAAUAUCAUGAUUGAUUCUACAUUCUACACAUGUUACAAGAAGUAGCCACUGGAGUUCCUCUCGGAAAAAAACAACAAGUACUUGGAAAAAUAACUUGAUAAUUUAAAAAUAGGAAAAAAAACAAAGUUGUGACUACCUAAUUAACUGAAAAUUUCUCUGGGCCGGCACAAAAGGAGAUAUAUGAACACCCUUUUAGUCUCUCUUUCAGAGCUAGCUAGGAUCAACAAACCCAUCAACAUCAAGUGAUGUAUGAUAUUAAUUAAGCAAAUAAUUCUGGGUUAUCAAAAGGAAAAUCGUUGUCAAAAUCCACGUUAUCUAAUGAGAUAUCCCAAUCUCCGAUUGACGAAUUGGUAGUCGAAGUUGUGGGUGAAUUAGAUUCCGGCGUUUUCACGUUGUGGUCUAUUCCGUUCAUGUGGCACCGGGACAUAACCAGGUGGCUAGAGUCAGAAGUGGCUGGAGAUAUAAAUGCAGGAGAUAAACUACCCAAAAAAUCGUUUUCCAUCAUAGACUCCUUGAAAAUAUCAUUUCCCUCAUCUCCAUUCCCUGAGGAAGCAUCUGGAAAAGAAAAGAAUGGAAAUAUGUCGUCCACAGUUUCACACUCCUGGCUUUUAAGUCCUUCUCUGAAGUUGAAAGAUGAGUACUCUUUUAAUGGCUUUGGUUUCUGUUCAGGUUGUUCUAAUUGACAACCAUCCUUGCCUUGCUUCGAACACUUGGCAUUUAUCAGGGAUGCUGAGGCUACGGCUAAACGAGAGGCUUUGAAACAUGUAUGUCUUCCUCGAUAGGUGAUUUCAAAAAUUGUAGGGUCCUGAUCUGAUCUUUGAACUUGUUUCGUGGCCAAACAACCUUGUGAGUGACGGUGAGUGCAUCUGUAGUAUCCUCUUGGAAAAUUAGCUCCAAGAAUAUCUUUCUGGCCAUAUUUCCUCCAGCUAUAACCAUCAUCGACAUGUGGCCCUUCCAGACCCGUCCCUGAACAAGCCUUCACUUGUUCAGUCCAUCUGGGUUCUGUCUUUCUCUUCUUGAAAACAUUUUUUUGAUAGUGAUCCUUGCAGUCUUGAUCUGAGACAUCACUUCUAGGGCUGCUAUUGGCAUAGUAAUAUGGUGAUUCCAAUGUACUAAUGGUGGGCUUAAUCUCAACCGCACAAGGACCCCAAUUUAGCAUGGAAAGUGCUUUCUCGUAGGAGGAAAGUAUCUUCUCAACAAGGAAUUGACGCGUUUCAGGCGACGAAAUAGAGUUAAGAUGCUUCCUUAGCUGCUCUGCUAGCUCUUUCCCUUGUGUCAGCUCAGCGAUGAGAGUCUUUUGCUCCCCAUCCAUGGCCUUUUCCAUGUACAAAAUGCUGCAAGAACAAUUAUAAUUUAACAAAAGCAAGGAAAUUGAAGUAUUGGAGAAGAACCAAGAAGCAUGGAAGUUGAGCUUGCAGUAUGAGAAGGAUAUGUGGGUAUCCAAGAUUCUCCCACUAAAACAGACCAAACCACCAAAACAUGAGAGUAGAAAUGAUUCCAAAUGACAAGGGUUGAUGGGGGCAAGUGAGAGAGAUAUAAGCCAAGAGAAAGAGAUGACAAAGCUAUUUGAAUGCAAGAAAGGGAGAGGCUUUUCUUAGUAACGAAGCUGUGAGGAACAUGGGAGAUAUAUGAAGGGAAAAGGGGAAGAAAAAGAUAAAUUUUUUGGUCGAAAUCUG